RNAcentral lists this unclassified non-coding RNA (370 nucleotides) under Hevea brasiliensis (rubber tree). The record is from RNAcentral. Lineage: Eukaryota; Viridiplantae; Streptophyta; Magnoliopsida; Malpighiales; Euphorbiaceae.
AGAAGCUUACCUCGGAGAAUAAUUUAAUUAAGGAAGAGUUAACGCUACUUUGUGGACCAGACGUUGUGUCUAAGCUGGAGAGAAACGAUAAUGUCACACGUAUUCAAUCUAAUGUUGAAGAAGCUAGUUAAGGAGAAGUGGAAAAGCCAGGACUGAGUAGGUGAUUUUUGUUACAAAGUGCUCACAGAUCAUUGCCUUUUUGGUGCAGUGUUUGUUGUCCUACUAACCUAUACCCUCCUUUAACUCCCUUUCUGAGUAUGACUGUAACAUAUAUUUCUUAUGAUUCUAACCCCAGUGUUAAAAGAGUCUUGAGUCUGUUUAACUUAGUCUUUAAAUUAACUUCAGUAGCUCAGAAAGUCUUCAAGUGAAU